UCUCCGUUGGUGAACAGCGGAGGGAUCAUUAUCGAGUUUAUAACUCCCAAACCCUAUGUGAACUUACCACUUGUUGCUUCGGCGCGCGCUUCGGUGCCGCCGAGGACACUUAAACUCUUUGUUUUUAUAAGCAUUUCUGAGUGGCCGAAAGGCAAAAUACAAAUGAAUCAAAACUUUCAACAACGGAUCUCUUGGUUCUG
RNAcentral lists this unclassified non-coding RNA (200 nucleotides) under plant metagenome. RNAcentral's name for it is "partial contains small subunit ribosomal RNA, internal transcribed spacer 1, and 5.8S ribosomal RNA". The record is from RNAcentral.